Molecule: long non-coding RNA, 397 nt
Filed under: Pan troglodytes (chimpanzee)
Lineage: Eukaryota; Metazoa; Chordata; Mammalia; Primates; Hominidae
Description: lncRNA (ENSPTRG00000054461.1)
Source: RNAcentral
GGAAAAGGAGGGCAGGGAAUUUGGAAACAAAUCGUUUUCCCUUAUGGUAAAAUGUAGGUAAUAAACAAGACCGCCAGAAACACCAAGAUGAUCUCAAGCAAGAGCCAAGUCACUCAGGGUUUCAAGUUCAGAGACACAAUGGCAAUGAAUGGACCACACCAAAUCUACAGUGAAUAUGCAGCAAGAGACCUGAGCCAAGUAACCCCAGCACAGUCUGAGAUGUGCAAGGCAGAAGCAAAUUUAAGGAGAAUGAAACGGAAAGCAAGGCCCAAUUAAAAUCCAAAUGAACAGGAAGCACGAUGCAAAAGCAAACUUGGAAAAAGCCAAGGCGAGAGAGGAACACUUUGGAAGAAGGUGAGACAAAAAGAAAACCGCAGGAGAAAUGUCCUCUGCAGCC